CAGUCGCCGCGGUAAUACGUAGGUGGCAAGCGUUGUCCGGAAUUAUUGGGCGUAAAGGGCUCGCAGGCGGUUUCUUAAGUCUGAUGUGAAAGCCCCCGGCUCAACCGGGGAGGGUCAUUGGAAACUGGGAAACUUGAGUGCAGAAGAGGAGAGUGGAAUUCCACGUGUAGCGGUGGAAUGCGUAGAGAUGUGGAGGAACACCAGUGGCGAAGGCGACUCUCUGGUCUGUAACUGACGCUGAGGAGCGAAAGCGUGGGGAGCGAACAGGAUUAGAUACCCCGGUAGUCCCUGUCUCUUAUAC
This 301-nucleotide ribosomal RNA is filed under the name uncultured bacterium. Its description in RNAcentral is "partial 16S ribosomal RNA". It matches the Rfam family "Bacterial small subunit ribosomal RNA", at positions 509 to 807 of the family's 1533-position model. The record is from RNAcentral.